This 483-nucleotide ribosomal RNA is filed under the name uncultured bacterium. Its description in RNAcentral is "partial 16S ribosomal RNA". It matches the Rfam family "Bacterial small subunit ribosomal RNA", at positions 28 to 507 of the family's 1533-position model. The record is from RNAcentral.
GACGAACGCUGGCGGCGUGCUUAACACAUGCAAGUCGAACGAUGAAGCUCAGCUUUUGUUGGGCGGAUGAGUGGCGCACGGGUAAGUAACACGUGAGUAACCUGCCUCCUUCUUUGGGAUAACGCCCGGAAACGGGUGCUAAUACUGGAUAUUGACUUGUUUUCCCAUGGGGGAUGGUGGAAAGGGGCUGUCUGGUGGUGGAUGUGCCUGGGGCCUAUCAGUUUGUUGGUGGGGUGAUGGCCUAGCACGGGUUUGACGGGGGGCAGGCCCCAGAGGGUGACCGAUCACGUUGUGACUAAGAUAGGGCCCAGACUCCUACGGGGUGCAGCAGGGGGGAAUAUUGCGCAAUGGGCGCAAGCCUGAUGCAGCGACGGAGCGUGAGGGAUGGAGGCCGUCGGGUUGGGAACCUGUUUCGCUAAUGAUCAAGCCGCAAAAAUGGUUGUGGUGAGGGUAGUGGGUAAAGAAGCGCCGGCUAACUACGUG